AAGUCAGAGGUGAAAUCCCACAGCUCAACUGUGGAACUGCCUUUGAUACUGUUAGACUUGAGUUGAGUGAAGUGGUUAGAAUGUGUAGUGUAGCGGUGAAAUGCAUAGAUAUUACAAAGAAUACCGAUUGCGAAGGCAGAUCACUAACUCUAUACUGACGCUCAUGAACGAAAGCGUGGGGAGCGAACAGGAUUAGAUACCCUGGUAGUCCACGCCGUAAACGAUGGAUACUAGAUGUGGGGAUUUCUAUUUCUGGGUGACAGGAAAAGCGAAAAUGACACCGCCUGGGGAGUACGGCCGC
This 301-nucleotide ribosomal RNA is filed under the name uncultured bacterium. RNAcentral's name for it is "bacterial SSU rRNA". It matches the Rfam family "Bacterial small subunit ribosomal RNA", at positions 585 to 889 of the family's 1533-position model. The record is from RNAcentral.